This 275-nucleotide long non-coding RNA is filed under the name Ananas comosus (pineapple). RNAcentral's name for it is "long non-coding RNA (ACOM_LNC037305)". The record is from RNAcentral. Lineage: Eukaryota; Viridiplantae; Streptophyta; Magnoliopsida; Poales; Bromeliaceae.
AAUUUUUUUUUUUUUUUUAAACCUGACUCCCCAGGGUAUACCAGAUCCGCCACAAAUACAAGGAAUCCACUGUUCACACGGACAGAGUCUCCCCUAUAUUUGCAUGGCGUCGCACAAGUACAAGAUGUCCAAACAGAGUACAACCACCAUAAUGAAUAUACAACAUUCAACAUUCAUUCACCAUUCACCACAGAUUUAUCAUUCAGUGUUUGAACAUAAAACUACAACUAUCAGUUAAAACGUUUCCUACCCGGAAACUGGUUUUGAAGUACUAA